RNAcentral lists this ribosomal RNA (495 nucleotides) under uncultured bacterium. Its description in RNAcentral is "partial 16S ribosomal RNA". It matches the Rfam family "Bacterial small subunit ribosomal RNA", at positions 28 to 523 of the family's 1533-position model. The record is from RNAcentral.
GAUGAACGCUAGCGGCAGGCCUAACACAUGCAAGUCGAGGGGUAGAAGCAGCUUGCUGCUUUGAGACCGGCGCACGGGUGCGUAACGCGUAUGCAAUCUACCUUUUACUAGGAAUAGCCCAGAGAAAUUUGGAUUAAUGCCUUAUGGUAUAUUUGAAUGGCAUCAUUUAAAUAUUAAAGAUUUAUUGGUAAAAGAUGAGCAUGCGUCCCAUUAGUUAGUUGGUAAGGUAACGGCUUACCAAGACGAUGAUGGGUAGGGGUCCUGAGAGGGAGAUCCCCCACACUGGUACUGAGACACGGACCAGACUCCUACGGGAGGCAGCAGUGAGGAAUAUUGGUCAAUGGAGGCAACUCUGAACCAGCCAUGCCGCGUGCAGGAUGACGGUCCUAUGGAUUGUAAACUGCUUUUGUACAGGAAGAAAAAGAGUUACGUGUAGCUUAUUGACGGUACUGUAAGAAUAAGGAUCGGCUAACUCCGUGCCAGCCGCCGCGGUAA